UAGACUCUCUCAAUGCUCUCUUCAUCUCUGUCAAACCCGAGCUAUCUCGCCCCCAAAUCCCAUCUCCUAAUCCCGUUGAUAAUGGGAUUUUAUCAUUAUUUGCUUACCUUGGUUUCCUAAUUUUGGCAAAUAGCACCUCUAUAUUGGAUGAUAAUCGACUCAAUCUUGACGAUUUGUGUGAUAUUCUUUCCAUAUAUGCAAGAUGAACUGGAUCCUUCAUACCAGUUGUCCGAUUUCGAGUUUGAAACCAUAACUAGGGUUUGGAAUUUGAUACUUUUUCCUAUUUUGUUGUUUUACUGACUUGAAUGUGAAAUUUCUCCCUUUUCUUCGUUUGCUUUUAUUCGAUUUCUUUCCUUACUUGUGUUCAAUCAAUUAUUUUCCUUGUUUGUCAUCUGAUUUUACUACUAUAUAAACCCCUUACCCCAUUCCCUUGAGACAGACCUUAAUCAAUAUAAUCUCACUAAAAACUUGAGGCUUUGCUCUAUGAAUUCCUUAUUAUCUUGCUCUUUGUUUUGUGGUGGGUGACUGAAAGUCAAGGCCACAUAGAAUGGGUUACCACAUAGAAUGGGUUUUGUACUCUUGUGGGUCUUUUGCUCUUGCUUGUUAUUCGUAAGCGACUUAAUUCUUGUAAUUUCAUCCCUAUGUGAUCUUGAUUUGCAUAUGCUCCCAUCUCUAAAACUCCUAGCUUAGUAUGUUUUCUGGAUUACUUUUGUGCACGAGUUUGUUAAUUAUACUAUGUUCUAAGUCCGUUUAGCAUCUGAAUCUCAUCCAAAUGCUACUAGUUCUGUGUUUACCCAAGCCUAACUUGGGUAAUAUGAGUGCAAAGGUGCCAAGAUGUUUCCCUAAUCAUGCUUGUUUGUUUUAUCUUUAGCCUCUAUAAUGAAUGCUUAAACGUCUAUGUUAAUUAUGACCUAUUCACUUGCUAUUUUGUCAUUCAACAUUCUCAUUUGAACCCCAUACCCUACUUGUAACUGAUUGAGAUCUUAAUAGUUACCUUAACCUAUUUUCCAUGCCCUGCUCGAACUAUUUCGUGACAUUAUUUAGAUCUUCUCUAGCUGUUUAAUCUAUUGUGGCAGUCCCAGAAUACCCAUAUGUGAUUUUUGGUAUGCGUUUGCUAUCUUACACUGUUCUAGUUCCUAGCAUUGUUUAUUCUGCAUGUACAAUGUGUUGCAAUUUGUAUUAAAACUAUUUUCUAUCGACUACGAAUCUGCUUCUAUGCUAAUAUGUUUUCUAGUCUGUCCUUUGUUCAUUUGAUAACUUGUUCUUCCAGUGUUUAUCACAAAACAUGUUCCCAUUAUGUCUAAAUACUGAUUAACUUGACCCUAAGAUGCAUGUUUAUCUUAAUUUUAACUUCUUAAGACUCAAUUUGUUUAGUGUCAUGACUGAUAACCUAUGCAAACCUAUUUCUUUCCCCAAAUUCUUCUUAUAUAUUGUUGUCUAUGUGGUACUUUACUACGUGUUGAAAUUCUGCUAAACCUGCUGGCCUAUAUGGAUUUGUUUCUCUCUAUGGCUAAGUCUACUUUAGGUUAUAAGUGUGUUCUCCCCACUUAUGUCCCUCAACUAUUGUCCAUUCUCCAUCAUCAUUAUUUAUGCUAUUCUGAACUUCUUAUUUUUAGCCGGCUGAAAGCCAAGGCUAUCAAGGCUCUUCCUACUGACCUCCGUAGUGUGAGCACUUCUCGGGUUCCAUUUGAGACCCUUGUAAACUACGACACACUAGGCAUUGGUCCUUGCCCCCUGAUAUUGAAACUUUCACUAUCCCUGACACUCCACUCUUUCCGCCUAUGGUCUACUGCAUAAGUAAAUUGGUUGGCCAAUCUAUUAUUGUGUGUUCUAGCUUAAUUUCUGCUAAGGAUUCUAGGUUGUGCUGAUUUCUAGGUAUGCUUAUUGAAGGCCUAAACGGUGUUAGGUAUUUCAAUUGAGCCUGCUGAAGGUUUAUUGUCAUCGUUUUGGUAAAACACUUUGAUUUUAUACAUUAUUGAGCCUGUAAUAACAAUUAUAUAAACAACUGGGUUGUUGGUAAAAGGGGAAAUGGGUAGAACUUUGUUAGUAAAAGGGGAAAUGGGAAGAACUUGAUCUUGUAUAUAAAAAUGGGUAGAUAACAUGACGAUAUGACUUGAUAAUUAUUUUCCAUAUGUGUUGCUCAAUUAAUUUGCAAGCUAUAGAAACCAUGUCAUUAGAGAAAAGCACGCGCACAUACUGUCUGUUAGCAAAAACAAGUAGAAAAUGCUGCAAUUAUGUUUAUUGCUACGUGUUAUUAGAAAUCCUGCUUAUAGGAUUCCAAUUAUUUUAUUUGACGCUGUUCACCUAGAAAAUAUGCUCAUGGGACUAAGAUAUGCACUAUUCAGGCCUAUAGGGAAUAAAUGCUAAUAACAACAACCUUUUAAUUUUGCACCGUACACUAGAAACCAUAUCUAUAGGAUCUGACCACUUCAUUUGCUAUUUUAUUACAUUUUAAAAUAGAUAUCAUUCCUAUAGAAUUUUAAAUAUUUAAAUUUGCUAUUGUAUCAUACUGCCUGCCUAAAAAGCAUGCCUAUAGUAAUACCAAUUCAGGAUCUCUCUCUAGGCGCAUGAUAUGGUGAACUAUUCUACACCUUCGUCGAAAAAUGGUAGAGGCAAAGCGAAGAAGAGUACGACUGUACAACGAUGGAGAAAAUGAAAUUAGUGGCAGAUUGCAUCUCUUCAAUAGGGAUGAAGAAUAAUUCGCAACCUCGAAGUAGCUCUAGUGGCCCAAAUUUGAGCUUAAUCACACCGGAGAACUCGACUAUUAGCAUGCAGAACCAGAUGACAACAUAGAAGCUUACAGAUCAGCACAAACAAAGAACAAUUCCUAAAAUUAAUAAAAAUUAUUUUUUGUCUAUUUUUUAGAAGUUAUUAUCAUGUAGGGAAAAAAUCAUAUGCUCAUAACCGGUUGGAUGGUUUGAGCCCGGGGAGGCUCAGUUUCUAGGUGCAGAUUGGGUUCAAGAGGCCUUGGACAACGUCAAGAUCAUUCAGGACAUGCUUCGUUCAGCUCACUCUAGGAAGAGAAGUUAUGCAGAUCGCAAGGUUCGAGAUGUAGCAUUUAUUGUUGGUGAGCGAGUAUUGCUCCGAGUAUUGCCUAUGAAGGGUGUGAUGAGAUUUGGGAAUAAGGGAAAACUUAACCCUAGGUACAUUGGUCCAUAUAAGUUUCUUGAUCGAGUGGGAGAUGUGGCUUAUAGACUCGUAUUGCCGCCUAGCUUAUCAGCCGUUUUUCUAAUUUUCCAUGUAUCGAUGCUCCAGAGGUAUCACGACGAUUCAACCCACGGGUUUGCUUUUAGUACAAUCCAAUUGGACAAGGACUUAUCCUAUGAGGAGAAGCCGGUAGCUAUCCUAGACUGAUAGGUUCGUCAUUUUAGGUCCAAGAGAUUUCCUUUUGUUCGGGUCCACUAGAAAAGGCAGACUCCUAAGGCAUCGCCCUGGGAGUUUGAGUUUGAUAUGAGAGUUGUUAGCCUCAUCCUUUUCCUAACUUAGGUACUUCUUCUUUUCUCUGUUCGAGGACGAACGACUGUUUUAACGGUGGAGGAGUUGACGACCCAAGGGGCGACCAUCACUUAUUUUCUUACUUAUUCUUUACUUCCGAGGCCUUGAAAACCAUAUUUGGGGUUGCCUCAAUUUGCAUGCACAGUCCGAGCGCGUAACCGGAAAGUUUAGAUAUGGAUUAUGUGAGAAAAAUGCUAAAUUUUGAUAUUUAAUUGAAUAAAUUUGAAUCCAGUAAACAUUUUAGGUAAAUGGACCCGGACACGUAAUUUGAUGGUCACGGAGGUUCCGUAAGAAAAUAUGGGACUUGGGUGUAUGCCCGGAAUAAAAUUCCAAGGUUCCAAGCCCGAGAAAUAAAUAUAUACGUGAAACUUUUUUUGGAAAUAAUUAAGGAAAUUGGAAGUGAAAUAUGAUCAAAAGAUUAUGAUAUCGGACUCGUAUUUUGGUUCCGGUGCCGGGUACAAGUCUUAUGUAUGGUUUAAGUGCUUUCUCUAAUGUUUGGUUGAAAACGGACGUCGUUUGACGUGUUUUGAACUUAAAAUGGGAAUUUGAUGUUUUAUGAAAGUUGGAGGAAAUCAUGAUUUUUGAGGCUUAAUUCGAUGUAUGAUGUUAUUUUGGCAAUCGGAUAAGUCCGUAUGAUGUUUUGAGGUUGUGUGCAUAUUUGGUCUGGGGCCCCGAGGGCUCCAGUGAGUUUUAGAUAGGUGUCAGAGUGCCUUUUUGAACUUGGGAAAAUUGAUGAGAUAACAGACCUGCAGGCUUCGCAAUUACGAAGCUUGGCUCGCAAAUGCGAGCUCGAAAUUGCGAAGAGUCAGCUCGUAAAUGCGAUACUACCCUAGACUUGAAGUUAUCGCAAUGCGAUAUUGGGCCCGCAAAUGCAAACAAUACCAUCGCAAAUGCGGAGAUGAAGUCCUCGGAAAUGCGACCUUUUGGUCCCUUCUUCCCUCAUAGUUGGCAAAUGCGAACAAGAAUCUCGCAUUUCCCAUACCUGCAGGGUUCGUAAAUACGAACCCAUGUUUGCAAUUCCCAUAUCUGCAACCUGCAAUUUUUAUACUUAGUCGAAUUUUUGACAUUUUCACCCUAUUUUCCAAAAGACAACUCCUUUGGGCGAUUUUCCAAGAACAAUACCUCUUCCAAAUAAUUUAUAAGUUUGUUUUUACUCAUUCCUUUCAAUUAUUAACAUCAUUUAACAUGUCUUCAACUUAAAAUCAAUGAUUUCCAUGGGUGAAAUUGGAGGUUUGGGGUAGAACCUAGGUUUUUUGAAAAAUCGGGGAUUUGGAUCUCAAUUGGAGGUUUGAUUUCAAAACAAGUCAUAUAUUUGGGUUCGUUGGGAAAUGGGUAACCGGAUUUUGGUUUGAACCCGGGUUUUGACCACGUUGGCUUGAGGGGAAUUUUGGUCAUUUUACCUAAAUUUUCUUCUUAGCUGUAAAUUAAAUAGUAGAAUUAGUUGACUAGGAUGUUAUUUACGAGAUGCAAUUAAAAUAAAUAGAUUUGGGCCAUUUGGAGUCGGAUACUCAUGGAAAAAGAGUGAUUUCAAGUUGAUUUUGGAGCUGAUUGAGGUAAGUGGCUUGUCUAACCUUGUGUGAAGGACAUCUCCCCUUAAGAUAUGUUAUUUGGUAAUUGAGUGCCUUGUACGUGAAGUGACAAGAGCGUUCUUGAGCUAAUUGUUGAAAACCCGAUUUUUCACUUCAGAUAUUGAGAUUGAGUUUCUUUCGUAUUUGCCUUAUUUUACUUGCAAUUAUAACCUGUGUUAGAUUAGAAAAGCAUGUUUAGAUGAUUUAACUUUCCUAAUUGCUUAAGUUGCCUUGACUGUACUACGUGAAGCAUGUUAGGCUAGGACUACCUAUUGCUUGUCUUUUGUACUUUAUUCUGAGUAUCUUCUGGUUGUUGUUGCGUAUUUACAUUGGGACUUCAGAUGUGUGGUUCUGGUAUCUGCCCCCUUGUUUGUUUACUUUGGGACUACGGGUUCGAUUCCCGGUAGAUCCCCCUGCACUUUUACUUUGGACUGAGGGUUAGAUUCCUAAUAUAGUCCCCCCACAUAUUUACUUUAAGACUGGGGGUUUGAUUCUCGGUAGAUCCCCCCUCUGCAUAUUUACUUUGGGACUGCGGGUUUGAUUCCCGAUAGAUCCCUACGUAUUUUUACUUUGGGACUGCAUGUUUGAUUCCUGAUAGACCCCCCUGCAUAUUUUACUUUGAGACUGCAGGUUUGAUUCCUGAUAGAUCCCCCUUGCAUAGUUCUAUAGAACUACUGGGUAUUUACAUUUGAGACUAGGACACG
Molecule: long non-coding RNA, 5767 nt
Filed under: Nicotiana benthamiana
Lineage: Eukaryota; Viridiplantae; Streptophyta; Magnoliopsida; Solanales; Solanaceae
Description: long non-coding RNA (NBEN_LNC010550)
Source: RNAcentral